UGCAAGUCGAACGAACUUCCGUUAAUUGAUUAUGACGUGCUUGCACUGAAUGAGAUUUUAACACGAAGUGAGUGGCGGACGGGUGAGUAACACGUGGGUAACCUGCCCAGAAGCAGGGGAUAACACCUGGAAACAGAUGCUAAUACCGUAUAACAGAGAAAACCGCCUGGUUUUCUUUUAAAAGAUGGCUCUGCUAUCACUUCUGGAUGGACCCGCGGCGCAUUAGCUAGUUGGUGAGGUAACGGCUCACCAAGGCGAUGAUGCGUAGCCGACCUGAGAGGGUAAUCGGCCACAUUGGGACUGAGACACGGCCCAGACUCCUACGGGAGGCAGCAGUAGGGAAUCUUCCACAAUGGACGCAAGUCUGAUGGAGCAACGCCGCGUGAGUGAAGAAGGGUUCGGCUCGUAAAGCUCUGUUGU
Molecule: ribosomal RNA, 420 nt
Filed under: Pediococcus acidilactici
Lineage: Bacteria; Bacillati; Bacillota; Bacilli; Lactobacillales; Lactobacillaceae
Description: bacterial SSU rRNA
Rfam family: Bacterial small subunit ribosomal RNA
Source: RNAcentral